CUACGGGCUGCUCCAGUGGGGAAUAUUGCACAAUGGACGAAAGUCUGAUGCAGCAACGCCGCGUGGAGGAUGACACAUUUCGGUGCGUAAACUCCUUUUAUAGGUCAAGAUAAUGACGGUAGCCUAUGAAUAAGCGCCGGCUAACUCCGUGCCAGCAGCCGCGGUAAUACGGAGGGCGCAAGCGUUACUCGGAAUCACUGGGCGUAAAGAGCGUGUAGGCGGGUUAAUAAGUCAGAAGUGAAAUCCAAUGGCUCAACCAUUGAACUGCUUUUGAAACUGUUAACCUAGAGUAUGGGAGAGGUAGAUGGAAUUUCUGGUGUAGGGGUAAAAUCCGUAGAGAUCAGAAGGAAUACCGAUUGCGAAGGCGAUCUACUGGAACAUUACUGACGCUGAGACGCGAAAGCGUGGGGAGCAAACAGGAUUAGAUACCCGCGUAGUC
Molecule: ribosomal RNA, 439 nt
Filed under: uncultured bacterium
Lineage: Bacteria
Description: partial 16S ribosomal RNA
Rfam family: Bacterial small subunit ribosomal RNA
Source: RNAcentral